GAUGAAGAACGCAGUGAAAUGCGAUAAGUAAUGUGAAUUGCAGAAUUCAGUGAAUCAUCGAAUCUUUGAACGCACAUUGCGCCCGGCAGUACUCUGCCGGGCAUGCCUGUUCGAGCGUCAUUUCAACCCUCAAGCCCUGCUUGGUGUUGGGGUCCCACGGCCGCCGUGGGCCCUGAAAGGAAGUGGCGGGCUCGCUACAACUCCGAGCGUAGUAAUUCAUUAUCUCGCUUAGGGCGUUGGGCGGCGCUCCUGCCGUUAAAGAACCAUCUUUAACUCAAGGUUGACCUCGGAUCAGGUAGGAAUACCCGCCGAACUUAAGCAUAUCAAUAAGCGGAGGA
Molecule: unclassified non-coding RNA, 338 nt
Filed under: soil metagenome
Description: partial contains 5.8S ribosomal RNA, internal transcribed spacer 2, and large subunit ribosomal RNA
Rfam family: 5.8S ribosomal RNA (bases 1-120)
Source: RNAcentral